This 2294-nucleotide ribosomal RNA is filed under the name Staphylococcus aureus. RNAcentral describes it as "partial 23S ribosomal RNA". It matches the Rfam family "Bacterial large subunit ribosomal RNA", at positions 607 to 2904 of the family's 2925-position model. Lineage: Bacteria; Bacillati; Bacillota; Bacilli; Caryophanales; Staphylococcaceae. The record is from RNAcentral.
UUUGUAGAAUGAACCGGCGAGUUACGAUUUGAUGCAAGGUUAAGCAGUAAAUGUGGAGCCGUAGCGAAAGCGAGUCUGAAUAGGGCGUUUAGUAUUUGGUCGUAGACCCGAAACCAGGUGAUCUACCCUUGGUCAGGUUGAAGUUCAGGUAACACUGAAUGGAGGACCGAACCGACUUACGUUGAAAAGUGAGCGGAUGAACUGAGGGUAGCGGAGAAAUUCCAAUCGAACCUGGAGAUAGCUGGUUCUCUCCGAAAUAGCUUUAGGGCUAGCCUCAAGUGAUGAUUAUUGGAGGUAGAGCACUGUUUGGACGAGGGGCCCCUCUCGGGUUACCGAAUUCAGACAAACUCCGAAUGCCAAUUAAUUUAACUUGGGAGUCAGAACAUGGGUGAUAAGGUCCGUGUUCGAAAGGGAAACAGCCCAGACCACCAGCUAAGGUCCCAAAAUAUAUGUUAAGUGGAAAAGGAUGUGGCGUUGCCCAGACAACUAGGAUGUUGGCUUAGAAGCAGCCAUCAUUUAAAGAGUGCGUAAUAGCUCACUAGUCGAGUGACACUGCGCCGAAAAUGUACCGGGGCUAAACAUAUUACCGAAGCUGUGGAUUGUCCUUUGGACAAUGGUAGGAGAGCGUUCUAAGGGCGUUGAAGCAUGAUCGUAAGGACAUGUGGAGCGCUUAGAAGUGAGAAUGCCGGUGUGAGUAGCGAAAGACGGGUGAGAAUCCCGUCCACCGAUUGACUAAGGUUUCCAGAGGAAGGCUCGUCCGCUCUGGGUUAGUCGGGUCCUAAGCUGAGGCCGACAGGCGUAGGCGAUGGAUAACAGGUUGAUAUUCCUGUACCACCUAUAAUCGUUUUAAUCGAUGGGGGGACGCAGUAGGAUAGGCGAAGCGUGCGAUUGGAUUGCACGUCUAAGCAGUAAGGCUGAGUAUUAGGCAAAUCCGGUACUCAUUAAGGCUGAGCUGUGAUGGGGAGAAGACAUUGUGUCUUCGAGUCGUUGAUUUCACACUGCCGAGAAAAGCCUCUAGAUAGAAAAUAGGUGCCCGUACCGCAAACCGACACAGGUAGUCAAGAUGAGAAUUCUAAGGUGAGCGAGCGAACUCUCGUUAAGGAACUCGGCAAAAUGACCCCGUAACUUCGGGAGAAGGGGUGCUCUUUAGGGUUAACGCCCAGAAGAGCCGCAGUGAAUAGGCCCAAGCGACUGUUUAUCAAAAACACAGGUCUCUGCUAAACCGUAAGGUGAUGUAUAGGGGCUGACGCCUGCCCGGUGCUGGAAGGUUAAGAGGAGUGGUUAGCUUCUGCGAAGCUACGAAUCGAAGCCCCAGUAAACGGCGGCCGUAACUAUAACGGUCCUAAGGUAGCGAAAUUCCUUGUCGGGUAAGUUCCGACCCGCACGAAAGGCGUAACGAUUUGGGCACUGUCUCAACGAGAGACUCGGUGAAAUCAUAGUACCUGUGAAGAUGCAGGUUACCCGCGACAGGACGGAAAGACCCCGUGGAGCUUUACUGUAGCCUGAUAUUGAAAUUCGGCACAGCUUGUACAGGAUAGGUAGGAGCCUUUGAAACGUGAGCGCUAGCUUACGUGGAGGCGCUGGUGGGAUACUACCCUAGCUGUGUUGGCUUUCUAACCCGCACCACUUAUCGUGGUGGGAGACAGUGUCAGGCGGGCAGUUUGACUGGGGCGGUCGCCUCCUAAAAGGUAACGGAGGCGCUCAAAGGUUCCCUCAGAAUGGUUGGAAAUCAUUCAUAGAGUGUAAAGGCAUAAGGGAGCUUGACUGCGAGACCUACAAGUCGAGCAGGGUCGAAAGACGGACUUAGUGAUCCGGUGGUUCCGCAUGGAAGGGCCAUCGCUCAACGGAUAAAAGCUACCCCGGGGAUAACAGGCUUAUCUCCCCCAAGAGUUCACAUCGACGGGGAGGUUUGGCACCUCGAUGUCGGCUCAUCGCAUCCUGGGGCUGUAGUCGGUCCCAAGGGUUGGGCUGUUCGCCCAUUAAAGCGGUACGCGAGCUGGGUUCAGAACGUCGUGAGACAGUUCGGUCCCUAUCCGUCGUGGGCGUAGGAAAUUUGAGAGGAGCUGUCCUUAGUACGAGAGGACCGGGAUGGACAUACCUCUGGUGUACCAGUUGUCGUGCCAACGGCAUAGCUGGGUAGCUAUGUGUGGACGGGAUAAGUGCUGAAAGCAUCUAAGCAUGAAGCCCCCCUCAAGAUGAGAUUUCCCAACUUCGGUUAUAAGAUCCCUCAAAGAUGAUGAGGUUAAUAGGUUCGAGGUGGAAGCAUGGUGACAUGUGGAGCUGACGAAUACUAA